Molecule: ribosomal RNA, 468 nt
Filed under: uncultured bacterium
Lineage: Bacteria
Description: partial 16S ribosomal RNA
Rfam family: Bacterial small subunit ribosomal RNA
Source: RNAcentral
GACGAACGCUGGCGGCGUGCUUAACACAUGCAAGUCGAACGGAAAGGCCCUGCUUUUGUGGGGUGCUCGAGUGGCGAACGGGUGAGUAACACGUGAGUAACCUGCCCUUGACUUUGGGAUAACGUCAGGAAACUGGGGCUAAUACCGGAUAGGAGCUCCUGCUGCAUGGUGGGGGUUGGAAAGUUUCGGCGGUUGGGGAUGGACUCGCGGCUUAUCAGCUUGUUGGUGGGGUAGUGGCUUACCAAGGCUUUGACGGGUAGCCGGCGUGAGAGGGUGACCGGCCACAUUGGGACUGAGAUACGGCCCAGACUCCUACGGGAGGCAGCAGUGGGGAAUAUUGCACAAUGGGCGGAAGCCUGAUGCAGCAACGCCGCGUGCGGGAUGACGGCCUUCGGGUUGUAAACCGCUUUCGCCUGUGACGAAGCGUGAGUGACGGUAAUGGGUAAAGAAGCACCGGCUAACUACGUG